Molecule: long non-coding RNA, 3928 nt
Filed under: Marmota monax (woodchuck)
Lineage: Eukaryota; Metazoa; Chordata; Mammalia; Rodentia; Sciuridae
Source: RNAcentral
GCGGGGGGAUACUAACUUCCGGGGAGGCCUGCUCUGCGUUCCGAGCGCCGCCGCUGGGGCGGGCGGCUGUGCGAGCCCCCGCGAGGCGGGCCGCUGCGGGAGCUCGGGCCCCCGCUCCGGGUCUCGAGAUCUGGGGGAGAUGACGUGGAACUUGCGUGGGAAAGUCAGCGUGCCUUGACAGACGUCUUGGGAAGUGGGAGGACCUUGGGAGGGAGAUUCGUGCAGAGGCAGGGAAGGAGCUAAGGAGGCCGGGGCGCUGCCUGACUGAGUCCACGGGCAAAUCCAAGGUGGAAACGGGGCGAGAGGAGAGUUACCGAGCAGGAGGACGCGGCCUGGGGCCUCGGCGGAAGGGACUUUAACAGACUGAGCUCCGGAACCGCUCAUGACCCCUACGCUGCAAUGGCACCGCGCACCGGGUUUCAGAUGAAAGACUGCCAGGCGUGGUGGCCUUGCCUCUCGUUCCCGCACUUGGGAGGGCCUAGGCAGGAGGUCGUUUGAGACCAGCCUGGGCAACAGGGAGAGUAGAUACUAAAGUCUGGAAGAAAUAGGUUUGAAAGUUCGGAAUUAGGAUUUAUAUCCCUCACCUGCAUUUGAGAUCUAACAGUUGAUGAGUAACACACAAAAGUGCCUCACUGAAAGUGGACAGAAUAUUUGAAAACCUAAUUCACAUUUAAAAAAAUAUUGUGCCAUGAUCAAAACAGGUAAAAAGAUGUACAUUACAUAUUAAGAGAAACACACACAAUGCAGUUCUUGGUUUUGUGUGGAUAAAACUCAAUAUGCUUUUGGUAUUUGUGCUGAAAAGUGUGACGCGGUGGGUGAAACUACCAAAUACUCUGACCUUUUUAGAAAGUAAUCAGAAAGACUAUGAAGAUUGAAAAUGCACAGGCCUGGGCUGGGUGGAUCCUUGGCAGAGGGUGUGGAUGUGCAAGGCCCUGGGUUUUGUCCCCUGCACUAAUUAAGAUGCACAGACCCUUUGACUUUUAGACAGCCUUCAGAAAUCAAGCCACCAGAACUGACAAUGUAGGUACAAAGACUUGUCUACAAACUCUUCUCAAAAGCCAAGCAUAGCCAUCAUCUCAGUGUCCAUCAAGAGAGAAUGGGUGAUUGAAUCAAAAUGUAUCCAUACCAUGGAAGUGUAGAUGUUCCUAAUGAGAAAAAAAAUUUGUCCAUAAGUAACUAGAAAGUUAUCCAUGUUAUAUUUUGGAGAAAACAAAAAAGGAAGGUACAGAUGAAUGCCUGUGUGUAACUUAAUCUCUCAGUGUGAGUGACUAUGUGUUCCAUACAGGAGGACACCUGUGGCUGCACCCACCCUCCGUGCUGAGUGGCCUCAGGAAGGAAGGUGAGGGGGUUGCACCUUACAUACCACUGCUGUGCUUGAUGUUCACGAGUGUGUGUGACGAAUACAAGUAAGAAUCAGGCACUGGGUUCCCCCCCCCCCCAAGUAAAUAUCCACCUGUGAUCCAGGGCGACUGGGUGGGAAGAAGGGACCCAGCUGGGUGCUCUGACUCAUGGUGGGGAGACCUGAAAUGCUGGCACAUGUUUUAAUCACUCUGGGCCUUGGGGCCUCCAGAAGGUGCCGGAGCAGUUCACAGAAACUCGUGUGUGGGUCUUCCCUCUGCCAGGCAAGAGAGUACCCUCCCUCACCUGUCCUCCCUCUCUGUCCCUGUCUCUGGGCUGCUGCCCCUUGGUNGGCUGCUGUGUGCAGGGCGCUUCCCUGAGGGACCAGAGACAGUGCUCCCAGCCUGCUCAGCAGUCGGGCGGGUUCCCCAGUGAGCUGGGGGGGGGGGGCUGCGGGAGGGUGGAGGGGACUGUAGCUGAGAGGUGGGGGCUGUGAGCAGGGGUGUGUGUGUGCGUGUGUAUGCAUGCAUGCAUGUGUGUUGUGUGUGUGUACGUGUCUGUGAGGAUUUGAAUAAAUGAGUUUAUUUUAUUUGAAAUUAUAUUAAUUCUAGAUGAAAUUUGUUGUUUUUACAGGUUAGGAAUGCCAUAUCCAAACACUUGAAUGUUUAAAACAGAUGACAACUGUUUUUAACAUAGAUUUUUAAAAUUAUAAGCAUAAUACAUACAUACUUGUGCCCUGAGGGAAGGACAUCAGGAAGCAUGGAGCAUCUGACAUACUCACUAUUACAGACUGAGUCCUGCCUUGUCUGAAAUGGUGUGUUGGAGUCUAACCCUCAGUAUCCCAAAUGUGCCCUUAUUUGGAGACAGGGUGAACAGAGGUAUCAAGAUGGAAUUAGGUCAUUAGGGUUGGCCCUAAUCCAGCAUGACUGGUGGUCUAUGAAAGACAGAUUUGACACAGAGACAUCACAUACAGAGAGAAGAUGGUGUGAAGAGACACAGGGAGAACAGGGCCCUGAGGAGCCUUGAGGUACAGGGUCAUGGAAGUGUAGCUGCUCCCUCUGGUGCAGCCUUCCCUCAGACCCUCAGAAGGAACCGCCCCGGUGAAGGCUCGACUUUGAGCUUCCGGUCUCAGAGGUUGAGCCGUACCUACCCACUGCUUUAAGCCACACUGUGGGUGGUACUUUGUGACUGCAGCCUUAGCAACGUGAUACAUAUUUUGAUACAAGGAAAUGGGUGGGGUGGGGACUGCUCUAACAACCACCUAUAAACAUGGAAAUGGCUUUGGAAUUGGGUAAUGGAGAGAAGCUGGAAGAAUUGAGAACCAUGGCAGAUAAAGCCCAGGUUAUCAAAAGACACUGUUGGUAAAACAUUAAUGGAGGUCCCCGUGAGCCCUGACCCAGAAAGAUUAGGCCUGCAGGGGAGGACACCUCAGCUAAGAGAGUGCACAGCCUCAGGGACACAGUGGUGCUAGACCAGAGGGCAGAUGGCUCUUCCUGGAAGGUCUGAAGUGGGAGGAGAUGAGGAGGCCACCAGAACCCCAGGACCCACCCAGAAAAUGGGCUACAGAGUUACCAGCUUGAACAUGUCAUCCAUGAAGGAGCAAGAGGUGUGGCAGUGGGGUAGACCGCAGGGACCCGUGGUACAGUGUGAGGGAGCACGUGUCUCUGUGGCAGCACAGAGCCCACAGGGAGGCUGCAGGAGGGCCUUUUGUGGUAAAGUGUGAGUGAGUAGCCGUUCCUGUCAGCUUCCCUGCACUAGACACAUCUCAUGGUGGAGGCGUGUCUCCAUCUACCCUGAUGUGUAGAGACCCCUUGCGUCUUGGGCUGUGGACUGACUCCAGUAAGCUCUAACUCACCCGUGUGUAGACGUAGAGGUGCUCGUGCCGCUCUCCUUUUCCUGUGAGGGUACAUGAACAUUCAUCGGUGAGUUUUCGGCCCUGAGACUCUGUCCCCACAGCCAGCUCCUCUCUUACUCGUUUGGGGAGGGCAGCAGAGCUGCCUUGGGAGGACUGCUCUUGGGGAGAGCAUCCUCCCUCAACCACGUUACGAGAGCAUGUGUUUUCCUUCCCCUGGGUGGAAGCAGGCACUGGCGCUGGUUGAGUGAUGGGUGUUUAUGAAACCUUUCUUUAUUCCAUAUCUUGCUCUGUUGCCCAGGGUGUCCUUGAACUUCGUGCCCCAUCCUGACUGUGUGCCACCGUGUACCACCAUCUUGAUGUAUCUCGUGAAGAGAGCCGGCUGAUUUUUGGGGGUGUGCGCACUCCCCGGCCUCCCACUGGCCACGCUGACCUCAGGCUUCCCUCUGGUGCGGCCUUCCGUGGCGUGGGGCUCUGUGUUUCCAGCCUGCCGAGGCCAUCAUGCAGCUUUCUGUGCUCAUGUGCCAUCCGUAUCCCCCUGGGUGAAGAACUUGUGAUCAUUAGCCAACUGUCACCUGCAUCUUUUUUCUUAGACUCCAGCUCUGUAGCUCUUAGUGAGUCCUGGGUACGACAUGUGAUGUGGAAAUACUUUGUGCAUGUCUCCUGGGAAUCAAAUAUUUUAAUAAAGCCCGUUUGUCAGUUUUUCUCAGUAGACUUCGAUUUUGGUGUUACAUUGAU